This 585-nucleotide non-coding RNA is filed under the name Pan troglodytes (chimpanzee). The record is from RNAcentral. Lineage: Eukaryota; Metazoa; Chordata; Mammalia; Primates; Hominidae.
GAGGAGGCAGUCAAAAGGAAAAACACAAAUAUCUCCAAGAUGGCACUUACAAAAAGCAACAACAAUGACAAAGUAUAAAUACAAACACACACCUUGAAGUUUAUGUUCUUACUCAAAUGCAAGCAUCAACAAUGGCCUACUGUCAGUAAGUUAAAUGGCUGUGGCUGUUUCAGUCUCCCAUUACAUGAAGAAUCUUCUGGAGAGGGAAAGAAGAAACCAUGUCUAGACAAGGUGCUGGAAAGACCCAGGGAAGACACAGAUUUGUUCCUUUCUCCACCAUGCCUCACUAUGUGUCACCAAACUUAAUUCAGCAUCAGUGCUCUCAAAUACUCCAUCCUACAAUUAGAGAAACCACUGAAUUCAGAUAUCCUCCACCAAAAUGGUAACGAAGAUUAGAGAAAGUGACGCCCAUGUAUAGCGGAGAAGUGGAUUGCGGAUAUAACAAGGAGCACAGUAAAGUAAGAUGUAAAACACCUUAUUCAACAACAAGGAUGCUGACUCAAAAGCAAAAGUUGAAGCACAUUAUGAAUGAAUGUCAAAAGGGAAAAAUCUAAAGCUAACAUAAAAGAGUGUGACUACAUCAAA